RNAcentral lists this ribosomal RNA (325 nucleotides) under uncultured eukaryote. RNAcentral's name for it is "partial 18S ribosomal RNA". It matches the Rfam family "Eukaryotic small subunit ribosomal RNA", at positions 1470 to 1796 of the family's 1831-position model. The record is from RNAcentral.
CCCUUAGAUGUUCUGGGCCGCACGCGCGCUACACUGAUGCAUUCAACGAGCCUAUCCUUGACCGACAGGUCCGGGUAAUCUUUGAAUCUGCAUCGUGACGGGGAUAGAUUAUUGCAAUUAUUAAUCUUCAACGAGGAAUGCCUAGUAGGCGCAAGUCAUCAGCUUGCGUCGAUUACGUCCCUGCCCUUUGUACACACCGCCCGUCGCUCCUACCGAUUGGGUGUGCUGGUGAAAUGUUCGGAUCGGCCGUUUGUCGCGGUUUCCGCGUCAUGUGGCUUAGAAGUACAUUAAACCCUCCCACCUAGAGGAAGGAGAAGUCGUAACA